CCCUUAGAUGUUCUGGGCCGCACGCGCGCUACACUGAUGCAUUCAACGAGCCUAUCCUUGACCGACAGGUCCGGGUAAUCUUUGAAUCUGCAUCGUGACGGGGAUAGAUUAUUGCAAUUAUUACUCUUCAACGAGGAAUGCCUAGUAGGCGCAAGUCAUCAGCUUGCGUCGAUUACGUCCCUGCCCUUUGUACACACCGCCCGUCGCUCCUACCGAUUGGGUGUGCUGGUGAAAUGUUCGGAUCGGCCGUUUGUCGCGGUUUCCGCGUCAUGUGGCUGAGAAGUUCAUUAAACCCUCCCACCUAGAGGAAGGAGAAGUCGUAACA
RNAcentral lists this ribosomal RNA (325 nucleotides) under uncultured eukaryote. Its description in RNAcentral is "partial 18S ribosomal RNA". It matches the Rfam family "Eukaryotic small subunit ribosomal RNA", at positions 1470 to 1796 of the family's 1831-position model. The record is from RNAcentral.